RNAcentral lists this long non-coding RNA (4323 nucleotides) under Lathyrus oleraceus (garden pea). RNAcentral's name for it is "Pisum sativum (pea) long non-coding RNA (PSAT_LNC040240)". The record is from RNAcentral. Lineage: Eukaryota; Viridiplantae; Streptophyta; Magnoliopsida; Fabales; Fabaceae.
GUUGGCAGCACCUGAUGGAAGCAAAGCAAAGGCUUUAACCGUGUUGUCAUCAUGAUACAAGAGGUAUGAAUCCUGAGUUGCCUUACGAAGCUCUCAAAGUCAGCCUGGAACUGCUUUCUGCUUUUGCCCCUUUCAUUGGCAAUAAGGCUGCUGCUUGGGGUGCCUAAUUAUUCUGUUGACCGUCCUUGUGUCAUCUAGAUGCUAACUUUCAUGUUCAAACUGGAUUUGUGUUCAAAUAAUAAAUGUAUUAAGGACAAGUAUCAUAUUUUAUGUAUCCUAAAUAAACAAGUUUAGAACUAUUUGCUAUGCAACUCUAUCUCUCUCUCCCCCUCCCUUUCUUUAAUAAAACUGAUGUCUGCAAGCUUGAUUUUGAAACUUUUUCGCCCGCCAUUUUGACACACAUUCGAUAAUUGGUUUAACCGCUUCGUCUGUAAAUCUGAAAAUUCAUUUCGACUGACAUUCUAGGUAUGGAAUGCAUGGUAUGCUAUGCAGAUGUCAUACCCCGAUUUUGACCCUGAAAAAAAAACUUUUCCCAAUCACUCACUCUUCAAAUCCUUCCGUGCGGCUGAAUCGCCAUCGCCACAACGAUUAGGGUUCUCUCACCUUCCGGGAUCAAAGGAAUCUCGUCGUCGUAUGAUCAGUCACGAGAAAAGUUUAUUUCUUUGAAGAAGAAUAUUCCUGAAGAUAUUAUUGCUGAUUUAGAACAGGGUCUACAAGAUUCAAAGUCAUCAUUUGAGAAAAGCCGUUCCAAUCUAGUACACUCUCUCAUGAAUAUUGAAGUAAAAAAGAAGUACGAGUUCUUGGAGUCAAUAAGUGCAAUAUUGGAUGCUCUCUGCCCGCUGAAGUCAGAAGAAUUAUUAAUUGGAACACCACAAAUCGCAGCCACCAACGUUAACCGGAGAAGCGAACAUGGUGGGUUUCAACUCUCAAUCGUCUUACGGUAUGCAAUCCAUGCUCAAAGAAGGUCACAAGCAUCUCUCCGGUCUCGACGAAGCCAUUCUCAGAAACAUUGAUGCCUGUAACCAACUCUCCAUCAUCACUCACACUUCCCUCGGCCCCAACGGGAUGGAUGAGAUGGUUGUAAAUCAUUUGGAUAGAUUUUUUGUGGCGAAUGAUGCUGCUACGAUUGUGAAUGAACUUAAAGUUUAGCAUCUUGCUGCUAAGAUUUUGGUGUUGGCUAGUAAGGCUUAGCAAGAGACAUAGGCAGUCAUCUCAUGAACAUUUAGUAGCCGACGAACGCGUUCAGGUUAUUGGUCAAUGUUCAGAUUAUAAACCACCACCCAAUUCAUCUGGUUGUGCUCGAAGUGAGCCAUAUGAUUACUCUGGUUGGAGAGGCCGAAAAGAACCUGAAGUACUUGCAGCUUCUCCGCUGAAACAUUUGUUUGUGGAGAAUCAACCAUAUUUAGUUUGUGGAUACUGCCAACAUGGAUUGUUGAACGACGUGGUUGAUUCUGCAGACAACAUACUUAGUGUUCCUGAGAAAUAUAAGUACACGAAGGAAACCUGCCGGAAACAGUUGGCAUUUGGGAAAUCAAGAGUUGGCAUUUGGGAAAUCAAGAAUUCAUGGAUUUGGCAUCUUUGCAAAGCAUCCAUAUAAAGGUGGAGACAUGGUGAUUGAAUAUACCGGUGAACUUGUUAGACCUUCUAUUGCUAAUCGAAGAGAGCGUUUUAUAUACAAUUCUUUAGUGGGUGCUGGAACAUAUUUGUUUCGAGUUGAUGAUGCAAGAGACAUUGAUGACACCAGAGCAGGAAGCAUCGCUCAUUUAUUUAAUCAUUCAUGUGCACCAAAUUGCUUUUCAAGAGUCAUUAGUGUUAACGGUGACUAGCAUAUUAUAAUAUUUGCAAAGAGAGACAUUAUAUUAGUCAGGUCUAUACAUGGUUAUGCGUUGAAGCAUAUGCACAUAUCACAUGUGGAGAUUGCAAAUCAAAUUAUUCAUACACAUGCAAAAUACGGGUAUGUAGUGGAUGCAAGGGUAGUCUUCAAUAGGAUGAGAACAAUGGACUUGGUUUCAUGGACUUCGAUGAUGACAGGUUAUAUUUAUCACUGCCACAUUGACGAAGCCAUAAAUUUGUUUUGUCUGCUGCAAAAAAAAAAGAAUCUAAAUAUUGACUCUGUUACUCUAAUUGGUCUCAUUCAAACAUUAUCCCAGCUUGGAUGUCUAAGAUUUGUUAAGGAAGUUCACUGUUACAGUUAUCAAUUUUUCCAUGGUAAUAAGCUCCCUAUAAAUAAUUAUCUUAUUACUAUGUAUGCUAAGUCUGGAAAACUGCCUAUGGCUAGAAGCAUAUUUGAGCAAAUGACAGAACUGUGUCUCACAUCAUGGUAUGCAACAAUAGCCACCUACAACGGCUAUUCGAAAUAAAGUUUCGUCCACCGGUACUGUGUCUGAUGCAAAAUUUGCUAACAAUCUUCUCACUCUAAGAUCACGGGAAGAAAGAUGGAUUCUCAUAAGACUGCAACCGUAAAAAAUAACAAUGAAGUACUGGCUAAUGGUCAUGUGCCGUGGGCUUGUGAGGCAUUUUCGAAGCAUCGUGCAGAAGAGUUGAUCACAUUCCGAACUUUACAUUGGUGUUGGACAUUAUUCAUGAUCAAACUUUGGAAUCAUGGAGAAGAAUUACGGACGUGUUACUUGUUUACGUCAAGUUAUAAUCAGCGCUCCAAAAAAACAAGGGAUCGGAUACCGUCACAAAUGGAAGACAAAUUGACUCAACCGGACAAUACAAUAGUCAAUCUUCUGGAAUUUCAUUUUACCGGUACAGCACAUCAAAUCGUUCUAAAGCAUGAAUUUCUAUCAAGAGCAUGAACAUCUUACAUACCAUGAAGUACUAGAGCAUAAGUUGUCGGUUUCGACCAAGUCUAGGUCGUGAAGCGUGAUACUUGCUGCAAGGAAGCUGCAGCAUGCUUGCAAUCCUGCAAUAACGUAUGGAAAAAUCAGCCUUCACAUUUUUGGUACUACAAUAAACUUAAUAGUGGGAUAAUAAACCAGGACAUCAAAGAGUAAAAAUAUAGGAUCUUGGAUUUUGCCCAUAGUGCAAGACAGCCCAACUGAGUCACUUUACAAGAACUUUUCAUUUUCAACCGCAACGCCAUGGCAGCAGCACCCGUUAGAGCACAUGCCGAUUACGAUUACCUCAUCAAGUUUCUUCUUAUCGGCGGUAGUGGUGUGGGGAAGAGUUGUUUUGCUUUUGAGAUUUUCUGAUGGUUCCUUCACAACCAGUUUUAUCACCACCAUUGGUAUUGAUUUCAAGAUAAUAACCAUUGAACUUGAUGGCAAACGCAUUAAGUUGCAAAUCUGGGAUACAGUUGGCCAGGAGAGAUUCAGAACUAUUACUAGAGCUUAUUACCGUGGAGCCAUGGGUAUCUUGUUGGUUUGUGAUGCUACUGAUAAAGCAUCUUUCAAUAAUAUUAGGAAUCGGAUUCGCAAUAUUGAACAACAUGCUUCUGACAAUGUAAACAAGAUACUUGUGGGAAACAAGGUUGAUAUGGAUGAAAGUAAAAGGGAUGUACCUACCUCCAAAGGUCAAGCUCUUGCUGAUGAGUAUGGUAUCAAGUUCUUUAAAACUAGUACAAAAACAAACAUGAACGGAGAGCUAUGGUAUCCAUCCGAGAAUGCUGGAAAACUCCCUGCAAUAAAACAUAUCCAAAAAAAGGCCAUUCAGUUUUGAUUAAAGAAGGGAUACAAAGGUUUGAUAUCAUGAUUAGCAAGUAUGAAUUGUUACCAAACUCAGAGCAUUACGCGAUAACGGUUGAUCUUCUUGGUCGAAUGGGAGAGUUAAAUACGGCAUUGGACGUAAUUAACAACAUGCCAAUGCAAGCUGGGCCUGAUAUAUGGGGAGUUGCCACAUAGAAUUUCCCUUGACUUGGGUGCCUAAUUAUUCUGUUGACCGUCCUUGUGUCAUCUAGAUGCUAACUUCAUGUUCAAACUGGAUUUGUGUUCAAAUAAUAAAUGUAUGUAAGGACAAGUAUCAUAUUUUAUGUAUCCUAAAUAAAACAAGUUAGAACUAUGGUUGCAACUUUGUAUGUUUCAAUAAAAUCAUUCAUGUAUGUCUCAAUUGCAUCAUGAAAAAUAAUUGUAUGUUUUAUAUUCUACAUUAUAUUAUUUAUAGUCUUUUUACAUUUGUUUUCCACCUCUUUUUCCAACAACCUUGAAAAAGACUAAUUUGGUAUUGAUUAUCACAUCGUUCAUGUAUGUUUCAAUAGUGAUUUGAACUCCACGGAUUCAAAUUAUGUGAUAUUUAAAGAUAAAAAAAAUAUGGGAGUUUUUAACCCAAGAUAUUGAAGGAAGGAUUUAGAGAACCGCAAGAAAGUGCAAACUGACAUGUGGA